Molecule: ribosomal RNA, 253 nt
Filed under: uncultured bacterium
Lineage: Bacteria
Description: partial 16S ribosomal RNA
Rfam family: Bacterial small subunit ribosomal RNA
Source: RNAcentral
UACGUAGGGGGCUAGCGUUGUCCGGAAUCAUUGGGCGCAAAGCGCGUGUAGGCGGCCCGGUAAGUCCGCUGUGAAAGUCGGGGGCUCAACCCUCGGAUGCCGGUGGAUACUGUCGGGCUGGAGUGCGGAAGAGGCGAGUGGAAUUCCUGGUGUAGCGGUGAAAUGCGCAGAUAUCAGGAGGAACACCAAUUGCGAAGGCAGCUCGCUGGGACGUUACUGACGCUGAGACGCGAAAGCGUGGGGAGCAAACAGG